UACGUAGGGGUCGAGCGUUGUUCGGAUUCACUGGGCGUAAAGGGUGCGCAGGUGGGCUGGCAAGUUCGAUGUGAAAGCCCCGGGCUUAACCCGGGAAUGGCAUUGGAUACUGCUGGUCUGGAGGAUUGGAGGGGGGACUGGAAUUCUUGGUGUAGCAGUGAAAUGCGUAGAUAUCAAGAGGAACACCAGUGGCGAAGGCGAGUCCCUGGACAAUUCCUGACACUGAGGCACGAAAGCCAAGGGAGCAAACAGG
This 253-nucleotide ribosomal RNA is filed under the name uncultured bacterium. RNAcentral's name for it is "partial 16S ribosomal RNA". It matches the Rfam family "Bacterial small subunit ribosomal RNA", at positions 524 to 776 of the family's 1533-position model. The record is from RNAcentral.